UUAUACCUCAGUUGUUGCUAUUCCUCUUCCUCUUCUUCCUUCUGCCAAACCUCACAAAAUCCACCUCAACCAUAGAAUCUCCCCUAACUCUAUCUCAUCUUAGUUAUAUCUUCCAACUAGGAGCUGAUUUCAACCUCAAAGUUGAACCCCAAAUUUGGACCGGACCCUAGCCAAGGCACGACUCACCACCUCCGUUGUCGGCCUCCACAAUGAAGCCACAGUCUUGACUUGCACCUCCAUUGUCGACUUCCACCACAAAGCCACGACACCUUCCUCAUCGAUCUUCACUGUCACUUGGACUUGCAGAUCUCCUUGAAAGUAAUGUAUUCACUCUUUUGGAUGAUAUUCGAUAUGAAACAACCUUGGACAGUCAAGGUUUGGCAAUUUGUAAGUAGUUAGUUAGUAAUAGGAUACCCUGGGUUAAUGGCUUUGGGUUGGAUUUAACUUUAAGAGUUCUUGAUACAUGCCUUCCUUGUUGGAGCUUGAAACACAGCUAUGCUAACUGAACCGUUUCACUUUGCAUAAUACUGAUGUUUUAAAAUUUUUGGUUAUUAAUGUUUAAUUGAUGUUUUAUCUGUAUGGUUUAUACACUAGUUGAUAGAUUUUUUAUUAGUAGCUUAACAUGUGUUAACAAAAUGGGUUUAUGAUGAUGGUCAGAAUGUGUUAACAAAAUGGAUUUUUUAUUGAUAGAUUUUAUGAUGGUCAGAAAUGGACACAAUUGUAAUUUUGGUUUGCUACAAUGAAAAAUGGGUAACCUCAAAGAAGAUGUGCACAUAUGAAGGGGGUAACUCAAAAGGCAUAAUAGUUUCGCGAAACAUCACGUCUGGUGAGCUUUUGGAAUGGGUGCAUAAGAUUGUUAAUACAAACAACAGGGAAGACAAGCUUUGUUUAAAGUUCUCAGUUUCAAUAUCCUCGAAUGAGUGUAAGCAUAUCAAGAUUGAGGACAAUGAUGAUGUUAAAUUUUUUUAUUAAGUACAUUUGUGACGUAAUUCCUUCAAAAGUGGCUCCUUUACUGGUGAGCAUAGAAGACAGAGGACUGACAAAUGUCAUAGGUGAUCAUAUACAUAUCACGACGGAUAUGAGUCAGAUGGCCUGUUCUUCAAAUGCCAUAGUUGAAAGCAAUGGUGAUGUACAUGGUGAUUUUGGAACAUAAUAUUUAGACAUGAUUGAUUUUAUAGGGGUGGAGGGGGUGCAUAGUGGUGAUAAUGGUAGGAAAUGAAUGGCUUGUAAAUGCACUCAGCCCCUCCUAUUUUGGCCCAUUUGGAGACAUUUUCACAAGUGGGUGUGGUGGGUUUCAGAACAACGUCUGAACUUUCUAUUCGACAUAAUUGGAGGCAAAUGGGUGAACAAAAAGUA
Molecule: long non-coding RNA, 1356 nt
Organism: Prunus dulcis (almond)
Lineage: Eukaryota; Viridiplantae; Streptophyta; Magnoliopsida; Rosales; Rosaceae
Exons: 2
Source: RefSeq, a predicted model, not a curated record